This 5597-nucleotide long non-coding RNA is filed under the name Capsicum annuum. RNAcentral describes it as "long non-coding RNA (CANN_LNC011999)". Lineage: Eukaryota; Viridiplantae; Streptophyta; Magnoliopsida; Solanales; Solanaceae. The record is from RNAcentral.
CCUUGACGCCUUGCAUAACUUGAUCCUUUAUUGAGCAUGUAUGAAUGUCACAAUACUUUCUUAUCUUAAAAAUCUUUGAUUUGCUAAUUCUGGAAUAAUGAAGAAACCAAGUACAAUCAUCCACCAAACAAACAAAUAGUAGUUGUUAAAUUUAAAAAAAUUAAUACUCAAAAAACAGAUACCCGAAUUACGUACAACUAUAAUAUUCAAUUUAAUACACUAAAAAUAUACAAUCUCUUUUACCUGUUUGUGCUUGACCUUUCAGUUCGAUAUGUCUAUCAUCAGCUGUGUUGCGGUUGCUUCUACUAAUCCUUUAUACUUUGUUGUUGCAUCAUACAUAAUCCCAUCAAUUUCAAAGUCCCUCGGUAUUCUUAUUUAAACAACAAUUUUAGUUUUCAUGCAAUUGAUAAACGUACAAAAUUCAACAAUGUAACAAUAGAGAAUUUAAAAAACACAAAAAAAUAAAUCUUUAAAUUCGUUUUGAAUGAAAAAUAUCCAUUUUUAUAAAAAAAAUUAACAAAUCUGACGAAUCCCACUUGUCUCCAUGACGUAUCAUGAUUGAAUGCAAAUUAAUAAAAUUCACAUUUCUUAUCAAAAGAAAUACUUGUUUUUGCUUUUCUUUAAAAUUAUAAUCUUCAACAAUUUGUUGACGCCGAAAUUACGGUGUUUUGUUUACUGGCAGAAAUUAAUCGUGUACAAAGAGGAAGGUAGUGUAUGAAGAUGAAAACUCUUAAUGCAAGCAUUAAAAUAGGAGGAAAAAACAAUGAUUAGAGGGAUUUGGACUGGAUAAAUAUCAGUAAUUAAGGUUAACUAUAUUUAAGGAAGGUAAAUUGUAUAUUAAGUGUAUUAAAUCUUUGAUUUCUUUUUUCAUUAAUUACUUUUUUGUAUUUUCAACAAAACAAAAAAACCUUUUUUAUAUAUUUUUUUAAAAUGAAAGUUGCUAUAACUUGAAAACUUAAAAGUUUUGCUAUAAUUUGUAAUAACUAAUCUAAUAAGUUUAUAUAGUUAAUUUUCCCUUUAUUUAUUCAUCAGCUAUAAACCCAAAUUCUAACAAAUUCGGCCCAUCCCUUUCAACUAACCCAAAAUCAACGACCCGGCCCAUCCAUCUCAAAUUGAAGGACCCGAACCUGAGAACAUUCUUUGUUUUCAAAUGUGGAUCAACAUCCAUCAAAGCUUUCCAGCUUCAGUUGUUUUUAUUGCGGUAAGCCAAUUUUUAAAUAGUUGAUUUUCUCACAUUAAUCGUUCCUUUAUUAUGAAGAAAAAUAACCUAUUAGAUGUUAAUUUUGUUUCUAUUUCCAUAGUUGCAUUCAAUUGUGAUUGUUUAGCAUAUACACAAACAAAUUAUGCAUACAACACUCUAGAGUGUGGCCUAGUGGUUAGUGAAGUGGGUUGAGCGCCAUGAGAUCUCAGGUUAAAAUUUGUGUCGUUUAAUAGCUGGUUAGAGUUGCGUAGAUAUUAGUAAGUAGUAAAUUAGUUAUGAGGGAAUAUAUGUAGUAUUAUUUUAUGCAGAUUUUAGUUACUCAUCUGUAACUUAUUCCGCCUUCUAUCCUGCGUAAAAUAAUGUAUAGAUUUCCUCAUACACGUACUAGUUAUGUGGAUUUUUAAACUCUAAACCAAACAUUGUAUUAAUUUUGUACAUGAAUCACUUAUUUCCUAUACACCAACAAAAUGUUGUAACUAUAAUUUAAUACAUGACUAACUUAUUUCAUAUCCAGCUACCAACCGACCCUUAAGUGAUUUCUUCCCAUAUGUUCUAGCUUGGUGGAAGGUGUGGAGGACUCGAAUUGGGGUAGAGGGUUAGUGGGUAGGACUUCAGCCGUUAUAGUAGGGAAGUGUGCUUUGUUUGUAUCUGCGCCUGGGGGGUUUCUUGUUCAUGGUGUUUCGGUGAUGUAUAUGAUUUUGGAUAGAUAGUUUAUAGUAGUACCUUGUGGGUGUCUUAUUUCCUUUAGUAUCUAGCAGUGUGUUAUCCCAUCUUGUUGUGUGCUUUUGCGCUUUUGUUUCUUUUGUUGUUAUAUGUCUUGAGCCGGGGGUCUAUCGGAAACAAUCUCUCUACUUCAUCUAAGGUAGUGGUAUGGACUGCGUACACGUUACCCUCCCCGGAACCCAUUUUGUGGGAAUACACUGGGUAUGCUGCUAUUGUUGUUGUUUUAUGUUCUAGCCUUGGUGGACAGAGUUACUUGGUACCUGAUGCUUGUGGGACCAUGGGAGGUGAAAGGUAUCCCGUAGAAUUUGUCAAGGUGUGGUCCGGAUACCACGAAUAUUAAAAAAAUAUGCAUACACAUAUACGAAGGCCCAACUAAGCAGCCAUUGUGAUUCAAAUUGUGGUGUGUUGAAUUUUGAUGUUUCAUUUGAUUAUACCAAAAAGACUAGAAUCCUUAGGGACUUCUUGUUUAAAUAUUUCGAUAUAUGUUAUGCUUAACAUGGAGAUCAGUUUGCUGGCAAAGUUAAUGUUUUUGACCAAAUUGGGUAUUCUUUGGUUCUACAGGAUCGAGAGUUCUGAUUACAGAAAAUGGAUGCAAAAGCUUUAGCAAAGUCAAAGAGAGCUCAUUCUUUACUUCUUAAUAAGAAGCAUAAUCCACAUCACGCAUCUAAGGGUUCUUCUGCUGUUUCUGGCACGCCCGCUGGCGGUAAGAAUGCUACCGUCAAGCAAGUUAAGGAAAAGCCUAAAUCUAAGCUCCCCUCGAAUUGGGAUCGAUAUGAAGAGGAAAAUUCUGAUUCUGAAACUGGGAUCCAGGAAGGCCCAAGUAAUGCAAGUGAUGUAGUUGAGCCGAAAAGUAAAGGAGCAGAUUAUGCAUACUUGCUUUCGGAGGCUAAGGCUCAGUUUCAGUAUUCUUCAGAGGAAGUUUCUUUUUCUGAUGAUAUUUUUGAUGGUAAUGCUUUAUCCCUGAACUUUUAGCAAUCUAGAAUUUCUUUUUGAUGCUAUCAUUCAUAACCUGUCAAAGGUUUAUAACAAUUGUAACUGGUAUCUUGCUCACUAUUCUCCUUCUUGAAAACUGUUGCUUUCUCAAACUCAUGUUGGCCAUAAAUGGUUUGGAAAUGUAGAAGUUACUAGUUAGAGCAUACCCUUUCUUUUUACUAUUGUUCUGUCUGCUGUUUGAUUACUAGAUUCAGGUUAGUUCGAGCGGAAGGGGAUGUUAGGGGUUAGGCAUGACUUAGAAUUGAACCCCCUCUGCUGCUGGCGGGUAGAUGUAUAACGCACUACUUUGAGCCAGCAACUUCUUAGGAGUAGGUUUUGGCUUGGGAAAAAGAAUCACACACUUGGAGUCAGGGAUAAGGGUAUGACUCACUCUUUCGAAAGUAUACAAGUGUUGAGAGAGUGAAGUUUGGGCUUAGAUUUUGAAACAUGGUUAUAAAAGUGAUUGCGUUAAUUUCAACAUUGAAAUCUUAUCUUGGCUGUACAUUGUCUAAGUUGUUGAUUCUGAGUUCUGACUAGUUUAUCACCUCAAUGUAAUGCUAGAAAAUGUGAAGGUUUGGCUUCAGUAAUGUUUAUUUUUGUUACACUAUUAAAUUUUCGGAGACUGCUGUGUUCCCAAGUCUUUCUGCAGUCUGCAAGUCUGGAAAUUUUGGUCAAAACUCUAUAGUAACUGACUCAAUAUCUUUUAGACUUUUAUCAGGGACUAGGAGCAUUACUCUCCGCAAAAGGGCAAAGCAAGUUAACGUGGAUAGCAGAAGACAAUUUUGCUAUGGAAGAUAAGGCACCUCCUCCCACUAAGGUGAUUUUUCUUCUCUCAAUCCAUGGCGUCGUCUGUCUCCUUUGCGCUUAUUUUCUGUUCUUGUUUUCUGGAGUUAUAAAGAGAGCGAUAUGGUAUGCUGAUACCAUUGAUUUACUACAAUUUAUCUCAGCUUUCAAUGCCACUAACAUUUAGGUUAGACUAGAAACUUCUAAUACUAUGGUUAUAUUAACAUGUUGAAUAUAUGCUGCCACUUUAGUUGAAAAUUCAAUCUUUUCUUUGAAAUUGUAUAAAAAGUAAAUGAUCCCUCUGGUUCAAUAGUUUUUAAUAGCAAAAUCCCGAGAAGAAUGACCCAUAACCUUUCUUACAAGUAAGGAAAUAUUUUAUUCCUCAACCCGUACUUCAUUAUAUCUAUAUUUACCAGAACUUAGCUUGGCAUUCAUCACAGGAUUCACAUUAAUCAGUGUGUACGGAUAAAUCAAGUGAAGUAUCUAAGUCGCAUAGAUUUGACCAGUCACACAUACGCCAUAAGCCAAAAUACAGAAACUUUUAUUUGAGUCGAUUUACUGGUUCAGCUCAUCCUUUGAAACAAUUCUAAGUCAUCUCAUUCCAGAUUACCUAAAAUAUACAUACAGAAACUCUGUUGACCCGAGGCUUUGGUUCUGUUGUAAGGAAGUGAUACAUGUUGUAUAUCCAUGGCCAAGUGGUUGAAAAGAACAAAUGAAACCAGCUCACCCACAGCUCGGUUGUUACUUUGGGUGCCACCUUAUGAUGAAUAUUGACAUUUGACAAAAGUACUUAUACAUCCCAUACUCAUAAAAAACUCCAUCGCCUAGAAGCCUUCACAUUCUGCCCCAUGCUAUGUGUUAAACACAACACCGAUUAGAGGAUAUUUGGAUUUUUAAACCUUUUAAGACCUCUUUGGAUGCCUUUUUACUCCCAACAUGUGACAUAUAUACCUUUUUAAACUUGAUUCUGGAAUAAGUCCAUACAGACAUAUAUCCCCUAACAUCCUCCAGCCCAAAUAACCUGCAUUCAGUGAAUCAGCAAGGUCUGAUUUCUUUGUUAAACAUAAUUCUGGAAUCCACAUAUGUCAGAUCAUACAGAUAGACUCCUGGCAAGAUUUAUGUAAAGGCUUAAAAUUAUAUCUUCACAAAUCUCCUAGACUUCUUUUUGAAUCAAAUCCACCUAAUAGGUGGUGGGUUAGUCUCAGACCCUGCUGUUUCACUGAAACCAAAUAGAAACAGAAGUCGUAAUUUGAAGGAGAGGUAUAUUUGCAUAACCUCCUAAAUCAAGCUAAGAUUGAGGAAAACCCAGUCCGUUACUGUAGGGCUCUAUAACAUGUACCUUUGCUAUACUAAUAUUUUCCAACUUACCAUAGGAUGACUCUCUUAUUUGCAUAAGGAUACUGUAAGUUAGAAUUUUUUUGGUAUGCAUUAAGUUAACUAUGCAAUAUAAGAAUUACUAACAGUUAAUGUAGCUUCCUUGUAAAUAAGUGAGAAAAAUCCAUAAGUCUUUCAGUGAACUGUCAAAUUAGACACGUGUUACGUGUUUUGGAACAAUCAGUUGACAUUAUGAUUUUCCAGCUAAUGAAGGAAAGAAAGGUGUUAAUGUGUGAGAUGCUUGCUCACUAGUAAUUCCUGAUGAUUCCAUAUCACUUAACUUCAUAUCUUUAUUCUUUCUUCUGGUAAUAAAGUGAUGUUUAUUGAAGUGAACUAUUGCUUGGGUUGUUGGAAAAUCAUAUUAAUGGCGCGUUUAAUCCCUUUGGCUGGGAAGCAAUAGCAUGUGUUCAUUGUAAUCCCGCUGAACACCAGUUUUCUUUUAAUCAGGCCAUGUCUGAUUUGUGAUUUGGUUUGUUUUAUUUUCCUUAAACGUUGUUGUGUCUCAUCUAGAUUGCUUGGCUACCUGUGAUCAAACUCAAUGGCA